RNAcentral lists this ribosomal RNA (270 nucleotides) under uncultured bacterium. RNAcentral's name for it is "partial 16S ribosomal RNA". It matches the Rfam family "Bacterial small subunit ribosomal RNA", at positions 28 to 295 of the family's 1533-position model. The record is from RNAcentral.
GAUGAACGCUAGCGGCAGGCUUAACACAUGCAAGUCGUGGGGCAGCACAGGUAGCAAUACUGGGUGGCGACCGGCAAACGGGUGCGGAACACGUACGCAAUCUACCCUUGUCAGGGGAAUAGCCCGGAGAAAUCCGGAUUAACACCCCGUAAUAUAUUUGGAAGGCAUCUUUUGAAUAUUAAAACUACGGUGGACAGGGAUGAGCGUGCGUCCCAUUAGCUAGUUGGUAGGGUAACGGCCUACCAAGGCAACGAUGGGUAGCUGGUGUGA